Molecule: transfer RNA, 72 nt
Filed under: Amphiura sp. CZ-2022
Lineage: Eukaryota; Metazoa; Echinodermata; Ophiuroidea; Amphilepidida; Amphiuridae
Description: tRNA-Phe
Rfam family: tRNA
About the family: Transfer RNA (tRNA) molecules are approximately 80 nucleotides in length.
Source: RNAcentral
GCUGAGGUAGUUAAAUGAAUAACUGGGCUCUGAAGAGGCUCGAUUAGAGUGUUAAAUUCCUCUCUUUAGCAU